Non-coding RNA from Phascolarctos cinereus (koala), 184 nucleotides. NCBI's taxonomy places the organism in Eukaryota, Metazoa, Chordata, Mammalia, Diprotodontia, Phascolarctidae. The record is from RefSeq and is a predicted model, not a curated record.
GGGAUGACGAAGGAGGAAGUACACCAGAUAAUACAGCAGGCACUGAAAGAAUACAGUGAAGAUCGCAUUGGGCUGGUGGAUUAUGCCCUGGAGUCCUCAGGGGCCAGCAUUGUCAGUAGCCACUCGUCAGAGACCUAUGGCAUCAGGACGGAGUGGUUUGGCAUCCAUUUUGACGCUAUUUCCA